AGAAUUUGAUCUUGGUUCAGAUUGAAUGCUGACGGCGUGGAUGAGGCAUGCGAGUCGAACGGGGCUCUGGGUUCGCCCAGAGUUCAGUGGCGAAAGGGUUAGUAAUACAUGGGUAACCUACCUUUAACUCGGGAAUAACGACUGGAAACGGUCGCUAAUACCGGAUGUGGUGUGCACGAGGCAUCUUGAGUGCAUUAAAGCGGGGGAUCGUAAGACCUCGCGGUUAGAGAGGGGCCCAUGGGAUAUCAGCUUGUUGGUGAGGUAAGAGCUCACCAAGGCUAAGACGUCUAGGCGGAUUGAGAGAUUGACCGCCAACAUUGGGACUGAGAACUGCCCAGACUCCUACGGGAGGCUGCAGUCGAGAAUCAUUCGCAAUGGGCGAAAGCCUGACGAUGCGACGCCGUGUGAGCGAUGAAGGCCUUAGGGUCGUAAAGCUCUUUCGCCCGGGAACAAGAGAGGUUGGCUAACAUCCGACCGAUUUGAGAGUACCGGGUAAAGAAGCACCGGCUAACUCCGUGCCAGCAGCUGCGGUAAUACGGAGGGUGCAAGCAUUAAUCGGAUUUAUUGGGCGUAAAGGACGCGUAGGCGGCGAGAUCAGUCUGGUGUGAAAUCCCGGGGCUCAACUCCGGAACUGCACUAGAAACUGUCUCACUAGAGGAUAGGCGGAGAAAACGGAAUUCCACAAGUAGCGGUGAAAUGCGUAGAUAUGUGGAAGAACACCUGUGGCGAAAGCGGUUUUCUAGCUUAUUCCUGACGCUGAGGCGUGAAAGCAAGGGGAGCAAACAGGAUUAGAUACCCUGGUAGUCCUUGCCGUAAACUAUGUAUACUUGGUGUAGCUGGACUCAACCCCGGCUGUGCCGUAGCUAACGCGAUAAGUAUACCGCCUGAGGAGUACGCUCGCAAGGGUGAAACUCAAAAGAAUUGACGGGGACCCGCACAAGCAGUGGAGCAUGUGGUUUAAUUCGAUGCAACGCGAAGAACCUUACCCAGAUUUGACAUGCAGAGGAAGCCGUUAGAAAUAGCGGCGCCCGCGAGGGUCUCUGCACAGGUGCUGCAUGGCUGUCGUCAGCUCGUGCCGUGAGGUGUUGGGUUAAGUCCCGCAACGAGCGCAACCCUUAUCACUAGUUGCCAGCACGUAAUGGUGGGAACUCUAGUGAGACUGCCCGGGUUAACCGGGAGGAAGGUGAGGAUGACGUCAAGUCCGCAUGGCCCUUAUGUCUGGGGCUACACACGUGCUACAAUGGUCGGUACAGAGGGAUGCCAAGCCGCGAGGCGGAGCAAAUCCAUAAAGCCGGCCCCAGUUCAGAUUGCAGUCUGCAACUCGACUGCAUGAAGUUGGAAUUGCUAGUAAUGGCGUGUCAGCUACAGCGCCGUGAAUACGUUCCCGGGUCUUGUACACACCGCCCGUCACAUCACGGGAGUUGGUUUUACCCGAAGUCGCUGGCUCAACCGCAAGGGGAGAGGCGCCUAAGGUAAGGCUGAUGACUGGGAUGAAGUCGGAACAAGGUAGCCCUACCGGAAGGUGGGGCUG
Molecule: ribosomal RNA, 1531 nt
Filed under: metagenome
Description: bacterial SSU rRNA
Rfam family: Bacterial small subunit ribosomal RNA
Source: RNAcentral